Molecule: ribosomal RNA, 1059 nt
Filed under: Salmonella enterica
Lineage: Bacteria; Pseudomonadati; Pseudomonadota; Gammaproteobacteria; Enterobacterales; Enterobacteriaceae
Also listed under: 1 other name
Description: partial 16S ribosomal RNA
Rfam family: Bacterial small subunit ribosomal RNA
Source: RNAcentral
AAAUUGAAGAGUUUGAUCAUGGCUCAGAUUGAACGCUGGCGGCAGGCCUAACACAUGCAAGUCGAACGGUAGCACAGAGAGCUUGCUCUCGGGUGACGAGUGGCGGACGGGUGAGUAAUGUCUGGGAAACUGCCCGAUGGAGGGGGAUAACUACUGGAAACGGUAGCUAAUACCGCAUAACGUCGCAAGACCAAAGUGGGGGACCUUCGGGCCUCACACCAUCGGAUGUGCCCAGAUGGGAUUAGCUAGUAGGUGGGGUAACGGCUCACCUAGGCGACGAUCCCUAGCUGGUCUGAGAGGAUGACCAGCCACACUGGAACUGAGACACGGUCCAGACUCCUACGGGAGGCAGCAGUGGGGAAUAUUGCACAAUGGGCGCAAGCCUGAUGCAGCCAUGCCGCGUGUAUGAAGAAGGCCUUCGGGUUGUAAAGUACUUUCAGCGAGGAGGAAGGCGUUGUGGUUAAUAACCACAGCGAUUGACGUUACUCGCAGAAGAAGCACCGGCUAACUCCGUGCCAGCAGCCGCGGUAAUACGGAGGGUGCAAGCGUUAAUCGGAAUUACUGGGCGUAAAGCGCACGCAGGCGGUUUGUUAAGUCAGAUGUGAAAUCCCCGGGCUCAACCUGGGAACUGCAUUUGAAACUGGCAAGCUUGAGUCUCGUAGAGGGGGGUAGAAUUCCAGGUGUAGCGGUGAAAUGCGUAGAGAUCUGGAGGAAUACCGGUGGCGAAGGCGGCCCCCUGGACAAAGACUGACGCUCAGGUGCGAAAGCGUGGGGAGCAAACAGGAUUAGAUACCCUGGUAGUCCACGCCGUAAACGAUGUCUACUUGGAGGUUGUGCCCUUGAGGCGUGGCUUCCGGAGCUAACGCGUUAAGUAGACCGCCUGGGGAGUACGGCCGCAAGGUUAAAACUCAAAUGAAUUGACGGGGGCCCGCACAAGCGGUGGAGCAUGUGGUUUAAUUCGAUGCAACGCGAAGAACCUUACCUGGUCUUGACAUCCACGGAAGUUUUCAGAGAUGAGAAUGUGCCUUCGGGAACCGUGAGACAGGUGCUGCAUGGCUG